GAUGAACGCUGGCGGCGUGCUUAACACAUGCAAGUCGAACGAUGAAGCCCAGCUUGCUGGGUGGAUUAGUGGCGAACGGGUGAGUAACACGUGAGUAACCUGCCCUUGACUCUGGGAUAAGCCUGGGAAACUGGGUCUAAUACUGGAUAUGACUUCUCAUCGCAUGGUGGGGGGUGGAAAGAUUUAUUGGUAUUGGAUGGACUCGCGGCCUAUCAGCUUGUUGGUGAGGUAAUGGCUCACCAAGGCGACGACGGGUAGCCGGCCUGGGAGGGUGACCGGCCACCAUGGGACUGCGACACGGCCCAGACUCCUACGGGAGGCAGCGGUGGGGAAUAUUGCACAAUGGGCGCAAGCCUGAUGCAGCGACGCCGCGUGAGGGAUGACGGCCUUCGGGUUGUAAACCUCUUUCAGUAGGGAAGAAGCGAGAGUGACGGUACCUGCAGAAGAAGCGCCGGCUAACUACGUG
This 466-nucleotide ribosomal RNA is filed under the name uncultured bacterium. RNAcentral's name for it is "partial 16S ribosomal RNA". It matches the Rfam family "Bacterial small subunit ribosomal RNA", at positions 28 to 507 of the family's 1533-position model. The record is from RNAcentral.